GGUUAAGCGAAUAAGCGUACACGGUGGAUGCCUAGGCAAUCAGAGGCGAUGAAGGACGUGCUAAUCUGCGAAAAGCGUCGGUAAGGUGAUAUGAACCGUUAUACCCGACGAUAUCCGAAUGGGGAAACCCAGUAUCCAAUGGAUACUAUCAUUAACUGAAUCCAUAGGUUAAUGAGGCGAACCGGGAGAACUGAAACAUCUCAGUACCCCGAGGAAAAGAAAUCAACCGAGAUUCCCCUAGUAGCGGCGAGCGAACGGGGAGCAGCCCAGAGUCUUAAUCAAUAGCAGUGUCAGGAGAACGGUCUGGAAAGUCCGGCAGUAAAGGGUGAUAGCCCCGUAUCUGAAGAUGCUGUUAUUGUGAACUCGACGAGUAGGGCGGGACACGUGUUAUCCUGUCUGAAUAUGGGGGGACCAUCCUCCAAGGCUAAAUACUCCUGAUUGACCGAUAGUGAACCAGUACCGUGAGGGAAAGGCGAAAAGAACCCCGGCGAGGGGAGUGAAAAAGAACCUGAAACCGUGUACGUACAAGCAGUAGGAGCCUCUUUAUGGGGUGACUGCGUACCUUUUGUAUAAUGGGUCAGCGACUUAUAUUCUGUAGCAAGGUUAACCGUAUAGGGGAGCCGUAGGGAAACCGAGUCUUAACUGGGCGAAUGAGUUGCAGGGUAUAGACCCGAAACCCGGUGAUCUAUCCAUGGGCAGGUUGAAGGUUGGGUAACACUAACUGGAGGACCGAACCGACUAAUGUUGAAAAAUUAGCGGAUGACUUGUGGAUGGGGGUGAAAGGCCAAUCAAACCGGGAGAUAGCUGGUUCUCCCCGAAAGCUAUUUAGGUAGCGCCUCGUGAA
Molecule: ribosomal RNA, 844 nt
Filed under: Escherichia coli
Lineage: Bacteria; Pseudomonadati; Pseudomonadota; Gammaproteobacteria; Enterobacterales; Enterobacteriaceae
Also listed under: 1 other name
Description: partial 23S ribosomal RNA
Rfam family: Bacterial large subunit ribosomal RNA
Source: RNAcentral